RNAcentral lists this ribosomal RNA (253 nucleotides) under uncultured bacterium. RNAcentral's name for it is "partial 16S ribosomal RNA". It matches the Rfam family "Bacterial small subunit ribosomal RNA", at positions 524 to 776 of the family's 1533-position model. The record is from RNAcentral.
UACAGAGGGUGCAAGCGUUGUUCGGAAUUACUGGGCGUAAAGGGCGCGUAGGCGGCCGACUAAGUCAGACGUGAAAUCCCAUGGCUCAACCAUGGAACUGCGUCUGAUACUGGACGGCUUGAGUUCGGGAGAGGGAAGUGGAAUUCCAGGUGUAGCGGUGAAAUGCGUAGAUAUCUGGAGGAACACCGGUGGCGAAGGCGACGUCCUGGACCGACACUGACGCUGAGGCGCGAAAGCCAGGGGAGCAAACGGG